AGUAUUUUGACUAUACAAAGGUAUUGAAAUAAGACUUUAAUUGAGUGCUAAGAGAAUGGAAUUUCAUAAAAUUUCUUUUUUAAUUUUAAAAAUUGAAAUUAAUUUUAUAUGUGAAGAAACAAUAAUAAAAAUUAAGGACAAGAAGACCCUAAGAAUUUUAAAAAUUUCAAUAAAAUACAGCAUUUUAUUGAAAUUUUUUAAUUGGGGCGAUUAUUAAAUAUUAAAAACUUUAAUAUUUUUAAAAAAGAACCAAUAAUAUUGGUUAUUUGAAAAAAUACUCUAGGGAUAACAGCGUAAUAAUUUUUGAUAGUUCUUAUAGACAAAAUAGUUUGCGACCUCGAUGUUGGAUUAGGAUUCUUUUUUAAUGAAGAAGUUAAAAAAAGAAGUUUGUUCAACUUUUAAAAUCCU
RNAcentral lists this ribosomal RNA (408 nucleotides) under Amblyomma maculatum (Gulf Coast tick). RNAcentral's name for it is "partial small subunit ribosomal RNA". Lineage: Eukaryota; Metazoa; Arthropoda; Arachnida; Ixodida; Ixodidae. The record is from RNAcentral.